UACGUAGGGUGCAAGCGUUGUCCGGAAUUAUUGGGCGUAAAGAGCUCGUAGGCGGUCUGUCGCGUCGGCUGUGAAAACCCGGAGCUCAACUCCGGGCCUGCAGUCGAUACGGGCAGACUGGAGUUCGGCAGGGGAGACUGGAAUUCCUGGUGUAGCGGUGAAAUGCGCAGAUAUCAGGAAGAACACCCGUGGCGAAGGCGGCUCUCUGGAACGCAACUGACGCUGAGACGCGAAAGCGUGGGGAGCAAACAGG
Molecule: ribosomal RNA, 253 nt
Filed under: uncultured bacterium
Lineage: Bacteria
Description: partial 16S ribosomal RNA
Rfam family: Bacterial small subunit ribosomal RNA
Source: RNAcentral